Molecule: ribosomal RNA, 253 nt
Filed under: uncultured bacterium
Lineage: Bacteria
Description: partial 16S ribosomal RNA
Rfam family: Bacterial small subunit ribosomal RNA
Source: RNAcentral
UACGGAGGGUGCGAGCGUUGUCCGGAAUCAUUGGGCGUAAAGGGCGCGUAGGCGGCGCGGUAAGUCGGGUGUGAAAUCUCGGAGCUUAACUCCGAAACUGCAUUCGAUACUGCCGUGCUUGAGGACUGGAGAGGAGACUGGAAUUUACGGUGUAGCGGUGAAAUGCGUAGAUAUCGUAAGGAAGACCAGUGGCGAAGGCGGGUCUCUGGACAGUUCCUGACGCUGAGGCACGAAGGUCAGGGGAGCAAACGGG